RNAcentral lists this ribosomal RNA (260 nucleotides) under Albinaria teres. Its description in RNAcentral is "partial large subunit ribosomal RNA". Lineage: Eukaryota; Metazoa; Mollusca; Gastropoda; Stylommatophora; Clausiliidae. The record is from RNAcentral.
UGAAAAUUUUUAACGGCCGCAGUACCUUGACUGUGCAAAGGUAGCAUAAUCACUUGACUUUUAAAUGGAGCCUGGAAUGAAAGAAAGCACGUAAACAACUUGUCUCAUUAGUAAUAUCUUUAAGUUAUUGAAGGAGUGAAAAUACUCUUAACUUUAAAAAUAGACGAGAAGACCCUUAGAAUUUUUAAAAUAUAUAAGUGAGACUUGUAAAAAUUUUUGUUGGGGCAACAAUAUUUCAUUUAAUAAGUAUUUAUUUAAAA